GAUGAAGAACGUAGCGAAAUGCGAUACGUAAUGUGAAUUGCAGAAUUCAGUGAAUCAUCGAGUCUUUGAACGCACAUUGCGCCCCCUGGCAUUCCGGGGGGCAUGCCUGUCCGAGCGUCAUUUCUGCCCUCCAGCCCGGCUGGGUGUUGGGCGCUGUCCCCCCGGGGACACGCCCCAAAGGCAGUGGCGGCGCCGCGUCGGGUCCUCGAGCGUAUGGGGCUUCGUCACCCGCUCUUGUAGGCCCGGCCGGCGCUUGCCGACACAUCAAUCUUUUUUCCAGGUUGACCUCGGAUCAGGUAGGGAUACCCGCUGAACUUAAGCAUAUCAAUAAGCGGAGGA
Molecule: unclassified non-coding RNA, 339 nt
Filed under: soil metagenome
Description: partial contains 5.8S ribosomal RNA, internal transcribed spacer 2, and large subunit ribosomal RNA
Rfam family: 5.8S ribosomal RNA (bases 1-120)
Source: RNAcentral